ACGCCCCCCGCGCCAGUGCGCCUGCGCACUUGAGACCUCCGGCGGGCUGCUCGCCCUGAGAGCCAGACGUGCUCACGGUGGCCCUGUCUUCUCGGAUCCCAUCACAGUCCUUCCCGUUCUCUGACUGUCCCAUGCCUACAAGCCCUCUAGUAUUCAGGACCUCGCCAUGUUAACCCUAACCCCCAAGACUAUUCACACUGCAUCAACAGACGUCGUCAGCACUCAAGUUACACACAGGGAGAAAGUGUGAAGACUGGGUGUGAGGCCUGACGCGGCCCUCUGGGCUGCCUUCGUGCAGUGCUGUGAGCUGUUGUUCCGGCAGUUGACAUUCAGUAGCUAUGGUGACGCGCCAGGCCCUUAGUGGGUGCUGGAUCCCAGGACGGUCAGUCUGAUGGUCCAGCUGCCCACCAGGGGCUGGAACGGGCAGAGUCCAGGAUAAUCGGGAAGACAAAGGAGGCGAGACAUUUCCAGCUGGGAAUCUGGCCUUCCGAACAGUGGCAAGCUACCGAGAGGCUCCCAGGGUGAAGCUGACCUCAGCUGGAGCCACGGCCCAACAGUUUCACAUCACAGUCCUUCCUUCGUCAUCUGCUGAGGACACCUGUGCUGACUGUGCGUCAGCUUGACACAAGCCAGAGGCACCAGAGGAAGGAGCCUCAGCUGAGGAGCCGCCUCCAUGGGAUCCAGCUCUUGCUUCUCGGCCACGGUGUGUCUUCACAGCAAUAGCAACCCUAAGACAACACAUCACCCCAGGCAGAAGGCUGCUGUGUCUUCUGUGAGGGCCCACGCCAUGUUACUGUGUAACAACUGCACGUUCUCGUUGUUACCUCCUGAGAUGGUAGCCAAGGAUGCUCUAGGGCCCUCUGGAACAAUAAAGACCUCCGCUGAUGUUACAAGUGA
This is a long non-coding RNA of Mesocricetus auratus (golden hamster), 897 nucleotides long. RefSeq lists it as uncharacterized. NCBI's taxonomy places the organism in Eukaryota, Metazoa, Chordata, Mammalia, Rodentia, Cricetidae. The transcript has 4 exons. The record is from RefSeq and is a predicted model, not a curated record.